This 497-nucleotide ribosomal RNA is filed under the name uncultured bacterium. RNAcentral describes it as "partial 16S ribosomal RNA". It matches the Rfam family "Bacterial small subunit ribosomal RNA", at positions 28 to 507 of the family's 1533-position model. The record is from RNAcentral.
GACGAACGCUGGCGGCGUGCCUAAUACAUGCAAGUUGAGCGAUGAAGAUUGGUGCUUGCACCAAUUUGCAGAGCAGCGAACGGGUGAGUAACGCGUGGGGAAUCUGCCUUUGAGCGGGGGACAACAUUUGGAAACGAGUGCUAAUACCGCAUAAUAACUUUAAACAUAAGUUUUAAGUUUGAAAGAUGCAAUUGCAUCACUCAAAGAUGAUCCCGCGUUGUAUUAGCUAGUUGGUGAGGUAAAGGCUCACCAAGGCGAUGAUACAUAGCCGACCUGAGAGGGUGAUCGGCCACAUUGGGACUGAGACACGGCCCAAACUCCUACGGGAGGCAGCAGUAGGGAAUCUUCGGCAAUGGACGAAAGUCUGACCGAGCAACGCCGCGUGAGUGAAGAAGGUUUUCGGAUCGUAAAACUCUGUUGGUAGAGAAGAACGUUGGUGAGAGUGGAAAGCUCAUCAAGUGACGGUAACUACCCAGAAAGGGACGGCUAACUACGUG